GAUGAACGCUGGCGGCGUGCCUAAUACAUGCAAGUCGAGCGAACAGACGAGGAGCUUGCUCCUCUGACGUUAGCGGCGGACGGGUGAGUAACACGUGGAUCACCUACCUAUAAGACUGGGAUAACUUCGGGAAACCGGAGCUAAUACUGGAUAAUAUAUUGAACCGCAUGGUUCAAUAGUGAAAGACGGUUUUGCUGUCACUUAUAGAUGGUUCCGCGCCGCAUUAGCUAGUUGGUAAGGUAACGGCUUACCAAGGCAACGAUGCGUAGCCGACCUGAGAGGGUGAUCGGCCACACUGGAACUGAGACACGGUCCAGACUCCUACGGGAGGCAGCAGUAGGGAAUCUUCCGCAAUGGGCGAAAGCUUGACGGAGCAACGCCGCGUGAGUGAUGAAGGUCUUCGGAUCGUAAAACUCUGUUAUUAGGGAAGAACAAAUGUGUAAGUAACUAUGCACGUCUUGACGGUACCUAAUCAGAAAGCCACGGCUAACUACGUG
This 497-nucleotide ribosomal RNA is filed under the name uncultured bacterium. RNAcentral describes it as "partial 16S ribosomal RNA". It matches the Rfam family "Bacterial small subunit ribosomal RNA", at positions 28 to 507 of the family's 1533-position model. The record is from RNAcentral.